AAAUUGAAGAGUUUGAUCAUGGCUCAGAUUGAACGCUGGCGGCAGGCCUAACACAUGCAAGUCGAACGGUAACAGGAAACAGCUUGCUGUUUCGCUGACGAGUGGCGGACGGGUGAGUAAUGUCUGGGAAACUGCCUGAUGGAGGGGGAUAACUACUGGAAACGGUAGCUAAUACCGCAUAACGUCGCAAGACCAAAGAGGGGGACCCUCGGGCCUCUUGCCAUCGGAUGUGCCCAGAUGGGAUUAGCUUGUUGGUGGGGUAACGGCUCACCAAGGCGACGAUCCCUAGCUGGUCUGAGAGGAUGACCAGCCACACUGGAACUGAGACACGGUCCAGACUCCUACGGGAGGCAGCAGUGGGGAAUAUUGCACAAUGGGCGCAAGCCUGAUGCAGCCAUGCCGCGUGUAUGAAGAAGGCCUUCGGGUUGUAAAG
Molecule: ribosomal RNA, 433 nt
Filed under: Escherichia coli
Lineage: Bacteria; Pseudomonadati; Pseudomonadota; Gammaproteobacteria; Enterobacterales; Enterobacteriaceae
Also listed under: 1 other name
Description: bacterial SSU rRNA
Rfam family: Bacterial small subunit ribosomal RNA
Source: RNAcentral